CCUACGGGUGGCAGCAGUCGAGAAUCAUUCACAAUGGGGGAAACCCUGAUGGUGCGACGCCGCGUGGGGGAAUGAAGGUCUUCGGAUUGUAAACCCCUGUCAUGUGGGAGCAAAUUAAAAAGAUAGUACCACAAGAGGAAGAGACGGCUAACUCUGUGCCAGCAGCCGCGGUAAUACAGAGGUCUCAAGCGUUGUUCGGAAUCACGGGGCGUAAGGCGUGCGUAGGCUGUUUCGUAAGUCGUGUGUGAAAGGCGCGGGCUCAACCCGCGGACGGCACAUGAUACUGCGAGACUAGAGUAAUGGAGGGGGAACCGGAAUUCUCGGUGUAGCAGUGAAAUGCGUAGAUAUCGAGAGGAACACUCGUGGCGAAGGCGGGUUCCUGGACAUUAACUGACGCUGAGGCACGAAGGCCAGGGGAGCGAAAGGGAUUAGAUACCCCAGUAGUC
Molecule: ribosomal RNA, 446 nt
Filed under: uncultured bacterium
Lineage: Bacteria
Description: partial 16S ribosomal RNA
Rfam family: Bacterial small subunit ribosomal RNA
Source: RNAcentral